UCGCAUGCCAGGCGACGGCACGGCGGCGUGUGCAGGCGUUCGGCGCGUCCACUCCGGCGACCACGAGCGAGGCCCCGCUCCCGAUAGCUGCGCCUGCACGUUUCUUCCCUCUACUGCCUAUCCCCUCGCCGGUGUCCGUCCUUCCCCAUCUCCCAAGAUCUGCUCCGCUGCAAUUCUCAUGUCCCGUCCGGCGACGGCGACGGCCGGCUGUCGGGAUUGACGAAAGCUGUCAACCGGGCUUGGAGGAAAAAGCUCGAUGAUCUUGCAGAUGAUGAGCAUGGCGAGCUGUUGUGUCUGUGCCGAGGUGCUGCUGCGUUAUGAUGCCUGAUAAUUGAGCUCCUCUUCUACAGGCUGCGAAUCGCGGAGUUGUUGCUGGAGACCGAGAUGACGAGCACGACAAACUGCUGUGUCGACGGCGAUGAGCGCAUCGAGCUGGUGAUGCUGUUGUGGCUGCAGAUGAUGAUGACGAGCGACUUCGGUGGUGAUGAGCACAGCGAGUUGGUGAGCUGCAGAUCAAGAAGGCGAUGGUGAUAUUCAAAAGAAGCUGAUGGUACAAGUUCUAGCAGAGUGACUCUUCCUCGUUUGGUUAUGUUUUGAAUGGGUGUAAUGGAUCCAGUUUUGAAUGUUGGUAUCAAUUAUUCCUAAGAAAGCAUGUCAGAAAUUUAUGCUUCUUGAAAGAGUUCAAUUGGUGCUACCAUGAUCGCUGAAAUUUAGAUAAUCAUGACGCUACAAAUGUUGAUGUGCGCAUUUGUCUAGAUUCUUGUUUAAAUUAUUUGCAUAAUGUUGUGUCUCGGACUUCCA
Long non-coding RNA from Lolium rigidum, 801 nucleotides. RefSeq lists it as uncharacterized. NCBI's taxonomy places the organism in Eukaryota, Viridiplantae, Streptophyta, Magnoliopsida, Poales, Poaceae. The transcript is spliced from 3 exons. The record is from RefSeq and is a predicted model, not a curated record.